RNAcentral lists this long non-coding RNA (1824 nucleotides) under Homo sapiens (human). Its description in RNAcentral is "HSALNT0081253". Lineage: Eukaryota; Metazoa; Chordata; Mammalia; Primates; Hominidae. The record is from RNAcentral.
GGGAAUUAUCUCACCACCUACGUACGGGAGCCCGAACAAAAGGCUCUGGCCAUUUUAUGGACCCAGGGGUGGGGAUGGGGGUGAGCUGGAGAGGGGAGGACUAGGUGUGGGAAACAGUGAAUAUUGAGUCAGAGAGAAAAAAGAGGCUUCAAGUGUCCUCCCCAGUGAGGAGGCCUCCGCAGAAUGACCCGAUGAAGAGACCUCCUCUCUCUGAAUGCAGGGAGGGCUAGAGAUGCAGAUAUGCAUAAGCGCAUGGUGCUGAGGAUGGAGUGACUGAGCCCUUGACUGCAGCUCCCUUCAGAGACUGCAGUUUACUGGCUGCACACAGUCUGGUGUGGGGAGGACAAUUUUUCCCUGUGAAGCCUGCCAGGUGCUGAGAUGUCUAUGCAGGCAAGUCUGAGGUUAGCCUCCCAGAGUUUCGGGGAAAAGCACACAGGCAUUCCUGAACACUCUGAGAGGUGCAGAAAAGUGGCUGAGCAGACAGACACAAGGUCUGGCAUGGAGGCAGAGGAUCACAGCGGAGCAUGGACCUAACAGCUGGAUGCCGUGUGGUGAUAUCACUAUCAGCAGAAGAUGCAACAAGACCGGGGCCACUGCUCAAGGCCAGAGAAACAGGUUUGUAGGGGCCAGUGGGUCAGCGGUGACCAUAGAAGACAGUCUUCUCUACUUUGAUAGCAAAACAAUGCGUAAGGCACCUGAGGAACUCAGAUUACAACCAGGGAGAAGAAAAUCAGAGGUACAAGGUGGGAUGCAUCCUGAAUUGGUAGAGGAGAUACCCCAGAGUGUUCUACCAGAGUUGACAGAAUUACCUUGAAUAAAUAAGAAGAAGGUAUUUUAUUACCAACAGUCUCAUGGGCUAAGUUUAAGUACAGAGGAAUAAAGUUAUAUCUUUACACACUUGGGUGUGUGACAAUGUAAAAUGUCAACAUUAUACUUCCCAAUGGACUAUGCCAUGCAGAAGGCAGAAAGAAGUCAAAAGCCUGUUCUUUUUUUUCCCAUUCCAUAGUAAAUAGCAGAAAUUAUUCCCUUUGUUAAUCUAAGCAUACACCAGUCUGUAGGUUCAUAAUGAGAAAUAACUUUUUGUUCUUUGAUUUUUUUAAACAAAAUAUAGAAUUUAUAAGACAAACCCUUUUUGGUUUGUGUUUUAUUCCACCUUCUUUUAGCUAGAUUUGAAUGAAAGCAAAAUAAAGCUAUGUAUUGAAUAAAUAUGUUAACUCCACAGUAUUUUUGAAUAUAUAUUUUUCAUGGUAUAGUUCCAACUUUCAUUGGUGAUAUUGAUAUGAAAGUCAGAUUUACUGAGAGGUAAUGUUCAGCCUUGGAAGCAUCACCAAAAUGUGUAUAUAAGGCCUUUGUCCACUAAUGAGUGUCCUUUUAUGUGACUGGUUUUGUAAAGCCUUACACUGUGAAUGGACCGUCAAUCAACUCGCAGCUGCACUGAGGCCUUCGGAUGGCUGUAUCCAUGGCAACGUGCCAAAAAUGGCGGCGCAAAUUAAUCCAUUUGUGUGAAAUUCUCAGUGAGAGUCCACUUUCAUCUUUCAGAAACUACUGUUAGGAAGUCUGAUGAUAAUGUAAAAUACUAAGCAAAAGCAAAAUAGUGAUGGACUAUCCACAGGAUCUUCUCCCUGUAAACAGUGGGACUUCUUUUCCUUUUUAUCUGCUAGAGAUGACAGAGCAGAGUUGGGGAUGUAAUAUUACCACCAUAAUGUUCUUUUUACAAAAAAAGUUACAUUAAUUUAAUGUUCACAUAUAGGCUUCUUUUUCACCUUCUCUCACAAUGCUAUCUAAUCAGCCUGGAAAAUAAGUACAAUGAUUUACACAGUGGUA